This 460-nucleotide transfer RNA is filed under the name uncultured cyanobacterium. RNAcentral's name for it is "partial 16S-23S ribosomal RNA intergenic spacer". The stretch from base 278 to 350 matches the Rfam family "tRNA". The record is from RNAcentral. Lineage: Bacteria; Bacillati; Cyanobacteriota.
AAGGGAGACCUCCCGCUGUAUCCAAUUCUUGAAAUGAGAAGGAGCAGACGGUUAACCUAAGGUCGAUUGAGGUUUAGAUGUAUAUGUCUGAUUGGCUUUCAAACUAUCUAGGGUAUGGGCUAUUAGCUCAGGUGGUUAGAGCGCACCCCUGAUAAGGGUGAGGUCCCUGGUUCGAGUCCAGGAUGGCCCACCUUUGUAAAGAAGCGAUUGUAAAAAGUGUUGAGCUUUUCAUUUUCUGUCAGGCUUCACGUUUUUCACUUUUGUCUUUUUUGAUUUUGGGGGUUUAGCUCAGUUGGUAGAGCGCCUGCUUUGCAAGCAGGAUGUCAACGGUUCGAGUCCGUUAACCUCCACUGGCUUGAGGCGUAUUUCAUUACUUGUUUCAGCAUUUCAUUUCAAUUGAGGUUUGAUUGAGAGAGACUGCUGGAAGAUUAUCCAGUUUAGAACCUUGAAAACUGCAUAG